GCGAACGCUGGCGGCAGGCCUCACACAUGCAAGUCGAACGAACUCUUCGGAGUUAGUGGCGGACGGGUGAGUAACACGUGGGAACGUGCCUUUUGGUUCGGAAUAACUCAGGGAAACUUGUGCUAAUACCGAAUGUGCCCUUCGGGGGAAAGAUUUAUCGCCAUUAGAGCGGCCCGCGUCUGAUUAGCUAGUUGGUGAGGUAACGGCUCACCAAGGCGACGAUCAGUAGCUGGUCUGAGAGGAUGACCAGCCACACUGGGACUGAGACACGGCCCAGACUCCUACGGGAGGCAGCAGUGGGGAAUCUUGCGCAAUGGGCGAAAGCCUGACGCAGCCAUGCCGCGUGAAUGAUGAAGGUCUUAGGAUUGUAAAAUUCUUUCACCGGGGACGAUAAUGACGGUACCCGGAGAAGAAGCCCCGGCUAACUUCGUG
This 432-nucleotide ribosomal RNA is filed under the name uncultured bacterium. RNAcentral's name for it is "partial 16S ribosomal RNA". It matches the Rfam family "Bacterial small subunit ribosomal RNA", at positions 29 to 507 of the family's 1533-position model. The record is from RNAcentral.